AUGUGCCUUCGGGAACUCUGACACAGGUGCUGCAUGGCUGUCGUCAGCUCGUGUCGUGAGAUGUUGGGUUAAGUCCCGUAACGAGCGCAACCCUUGUCCUUAGUUACCAGCACGUUAUGGUGGGCACUCUAAGGAGACUGCCGGUGACAAACCGGAGGAAGGUGGGGGAUGACGUCAAGUCAUCAUGGCCCUUACGGCCUGGGCUACACACGUGCUACAAUGGUCGGUACAAAGGGUUGCCAAGCCGCGAGGUGGAGCUAAUCCCAUAAAACCGAUCGUAGUCCGGAUCGCAGUCUGCAACUCGACUGCGUGAAGUCGGAAUCGCUAGUAAUCGUGAAUCAGAAUGUCCACGGUCGAAUACGUUCCGGCCUU
RNAcentral lists this ribosomal RNA (372 nucleotides) under uncultured Pseudomonas sp. RNAcentral describes it as "bacterial SSU rRNA". It matches the Rfam family "Bacterial small subunit ribosomal RNA", at positions 1012 to 1374 of the family's 1533-position model. Lineage: Bacteria; Pseudomonadati; Pseudomonadota; Gammaproteobacteria; Pseudomonadales; Pseudomonadaceae. The record is from RNAcentral.